GACGAACCGUGCGAACGUUGUUCGGAAUCACUGGGCUUAAAGGGCGCGUAGGCGGCGCGUCAAGUCGGGGGUGAAAGCGUUCGGCUCAACCGGACCAGGGCCCCCGAUACUGACACGCUCGAGGGAGGCAGGGGCCGACGGAACUUCCGGUGGAGCGGUGAAAUGCGUUGAUAUCGGAAGGAACGCCGGUGGCGAAAGCGGCUCUCUGGGACGGUACUGACGCUGAGACGCGAAAGCGUGGGGAGCAAACAGG
RNAcentral lists this ribosomal RNA (253 nucleotides) under uncultured bacterium. RNAcentral describes it as "partial 16S ribosomal RNA". It matches the Rfam family "Bacterial small subunit ribosomal RNA", at positions 524 to 776 of the family's 1533-position model. The record is from RNAcentral.